Molecule: ribosomal RNA, 447 nt
Filed under: Microbacterium sp. oral taxon C11
Lineage: Bacteria; Bacillati; Actinomycetota; Actinomycetes; Micrococcales; Microbacteriaceae
Description: bacterial SSU rRNA
Rfam family: Bacterial small subunit ribosomal RNA
Source: RNAcentral
GACGAACGCUGGCGGCGUGCUUAACACAUGCAAGUCGAACGAUGAUCAGGAGCUUGCUCCUGUGAUUAGUGGCGAACGGGUGAGUAACACGUGAGUAACCUGCCCCCGACUCUGGGAUAAGCGUUGGAAACGACGUCUAAUACUGGAUAUGAUCACUGGCCGCAUGGUCUGGUGGUGGAAAGAUUUUUUGGUUGGGGAUGGACUCGCGGCCUAUCAGCUUGUUGGUGAGGUAAUGGCUCACCAAGGCGACGACGGGUAGCCGGCCUGAGAGGGUGACCGGCCACACUGGGACUGAGACACGGCCCAGACUCCUACGGGAGGCAGCAGUGGGGAAUAUUGCACAAUGGGCGAAAGCCUGAUGCAGCAACGCCGCGUGAGGGAUGACGGCCUUCGGGUUGUAAACCUCUUUUAGUAGGGAAGAAAGCGAAAAGGGACGGACCUGCAGAA